This is a long non-coding RNA of Cyprinodon tularosa, 873 nucleotides long. RefSeq lists it as uncharacterized. The record is from RefSeq and is a predicted model, not a curated record. NCBI's taxonomy places the organism in Eukaryota, Metazoa, Chordata, Actinopteri, Cyprinodontiformes, Cyprinodontidae. The transcript has 4 exons.
CACACGUUGUGCUAUGGACAGAGAGAAUGGGCUCUUACGUAAGGCCAUUUGACUUCUGCUUUGUCAACAAAUGGCAGAGAGAGGAGAAGCUGAGCAGCGCCGCGCUUGGAUCUCUCUGAAACAGCUCCAAAGAAGGCUCGAACGUGGCGCUCAAGAGCAGGAGCCUUUAUCCUCCUAAUUGAGAAGAGACCCCCACCGACCCUCCCGGCUGUCUCUCCAUAAACAGCUUCUACCCUCAGCAGCAGCCUGGGAUUCUAUGCAUUCCUGAGGCAAAGCUAUUUGAAGUUCAUUUCAAACAACUAGGCUUAAAAGGAAUUGAAUGUAACAUCCAGAGACCGGGAGCAGGAAGCCACCUGCAAAUCAGAUAUCAGCACACAGAUGUAAUCCUACCCUCCGGCCUUUCCCACAUUACAAGUUACUUGAUGUGAGGGAGGACGUCAUUAAUCCGUUACUCUCUGCUUCGCAUAGUGUACUGGUCGUCGCCAUCAUGGAUAAUAGCACAUUGUGGCAAACACCAGAUACAGCACCGGGACUUGCUCAACAGCCGAUACCGCACCGUGUUGCCCUGUCCUUAUUGGUCCUCCCUGGACACCUGCGGCUCGUUGGUUCAUUACUGGAGGAGUACUUGAGCAGUGGGCUGUCACUACCUCGAGGCCAGAGUGUUUGCCAGUUUUGGGAAGUCUUCCUGUGUAACUGGAUUCCUGUACCUUCUCCCCUUGGAAGGACUUACUGAGUACACACUGAGCACGGGAAAACCUCCACAUGAUCCGUUCAAGUUACCAUCGGAAAUCCAAGUGACAAUCCGCUCCAUUACUCCUCGGGUCCAACGUAUGUCUACCUGUCCGCUCUCCAACAAGUUCCCUCUUCUCUGGA